AGUCGUAGUUUUUCUACAAUAAUAGCAACUAGAAUCUGCCAGGACCUGUCCCAAACAACUUCCGCCGACGGCAUCGGCAACCGCCAGAGGAGCGACAAUAAAGCCACUUCCGCCAGUACUGAUACCGCUGUCUGAGGGCCAUCUAGUGGUAGGUUUCGGAUACUGCAGAGUUGAUGCUACAUGGCACCCAAGGGCAGGUUGCUGAGCUUUUGGCUGUAUUGAUUUAUUUACUUCUUUCAUUUCAUUAACACGGUUUUUUUCCUGCGUCUUCACGGGAAAUUGCCAGGUUUCAGUCCUCCUGCAACUGGAUCCAGUUGAAUCAUGCAAUUAGUAAUAUUUUUGGACAGGAUGUAAAACUAAUCUGGGAAGUUUUGGCUGCCCCUGGUGAUUAAAAACCAUCUGGCACUUAUGACAAGAGUAGCUCUUCAUCCUGAAGAUAUAACCAAAUCUAGGUACAGUAACUGCAUUCUGUGUCCCUACAUUGCCCUUGCAAUUCCAGUUUUUAAAAUGUAUCCCUUAGUUCCCUGCCUAAAAAUAGGCUUUGGGAUAAUUUGACAGUCACUACAGGUUAUCAGCAAAGGAAGAAAUUGGUAUUUUUCUAAUAAUUUUAUUUUAGGGUGAGGUUACACUAUAUGGCUGGGAUUAAGUCCAUAGGGCCACAGAAGGUGGUUUGCUGCCUCUUUUAUAGCAUGUACCUGGGAGGUCCAGGUAUCUACCAUGAUAGGGCUGAACCAUAAAAUGAAAUAAAUCAAUGGAUUCUAAACAGGGACUCAAGUGGGGCUUUGUUGAGAGGAUGUACUUUUAGAGAACCCUGGGACUAGAAUGUUCUUAAAGCUUUCAAUGGUAUAUCAAGUCUUUGGGAACAUAUUUUAUCUGUUUAUACCUUUUCCUUCAGAAUCCCAUUUAUACCCUUGCUAAGCUUGUUUGAGGAUUCUAUCAUAUUUUUGUAAGACCCUAUCUCUAUCCUUCCUCUCCUGUAGGGACAUUCUAGUUCUAGGUUCCAGUCUUGCAAGCACCUAUGUAACUGUUUUAACUCUAAACUCCUGAGUAGACUCCUGGAAGUUGAUGAGACUACCCUUGUGCUUAAAGUUAAGUAUCUUUAUAAAGGGGGCCCUAAUUAUGGCUUUAAGCUCUGUGUGGAACAGUGGUUAUUUGAGGAGCACAGACUGAGAAGUUGUAAAGACUACCACACCAACCUGCUUGCUGGUGCAUUUCAAUAGUAGCAGAUGAUGCCUGCAAAGCACUCUGGGAUCUCUUGGGAUAUUAUACUUUGUAAUUUUCUGUUAAAAUAGCAGUGCACCACUGGUCAUUUGCUUCUGGUCCCACAUCUCCCCAACGGUGCUGCUGAUCGUCAGUUAACGUUCCACUCAAGCCCCAUCAGUAUUAACACAUGCUGGCACAUUCUCUUGAAUUUUACUUGGGUCACUCGGCAAUGAACUAGGUGCAUUCAACCUGCUCAGCAGACAUCACCGUUAGAAUUUUAAACUCUGCAAGUUUCCAAUGUGACUAGUGAUUUAACAAUUUGAAUAAACCCAUUUAUUGUUUCGUAUGUUCAAAGGCCAGAAGGGGCCAUUGUGAUCAUCUACUCUGACCUCUUACACAGCACAGGCCAGUGACCUUCCCCAAGAUAAUUCCUAGAGCAGAUCUUUAAAAAAAAAAAAAAAAAAUCCAUUGUGUACAUUGUAUUUUAUGAAUAAAGCCAUCACUUAAUGUAAAAAACAACCUUGAUCUUUAUUUUUGAGGCAUUUUUGUAACUACACUUUUCUGAUUGACACCAGCUAUUCACAGUACUGUGAGGUGCAUAACAUUCAGUGUUCUAAAGUUUUUUUCUAUUUACUAACUAGCCUGUUCAUAAAUAUUUUCAAGGAAAGAUCUUUAUCCCUGGAACUGUCUGGUUAAAUUUUAUACAGCAUAGCUAAAUAACCAUAAUCCAUGUUACUGAGAGAUCUCCAUAAAUUCCAUUUGGCUGCUACAUGUACGGUGUUUUGAAGAAAUAAGAUACAGCUCAAAAUGAAUUGCUAAAACAUGCAUUCCAUAUAGUGUGAAAACUCUGCGUCAGAACCUGCUGUUGAAAAAUGUUUUAAAAUAAACUUUCCUUCCCUAUGGGA
Long non-coding RNA from Dermochelys coriacea (leatherback sea turtle), 2108 nucleotides. RefSeq lists it as uncharacterized. The record is from RefSeq and is a predicted model, not a curated record. Lineage: Eukaryota; Metazoa; Chordata; Testudines; Dermochelyidae. The transcript is spliced from 2 exons.